RNAcentral lists this ribosomal RNA (428 nucleotides) under uncultured eukaryote. RNAcentral describes it as "SSU rRNA". It matches the Rfam family "Eukaryotic small subunit ribosomal RNA", at positions 592 to 1018 of the family's 1831-position model. The record is from RNAcentral.
CAGUAGCGUAUAUUAAAGUUGUUGCAGUUAAAAAGCUCGUAGUUGGAUUUCUGGUACGCUGCGCCUAGGCCGCCCUAUUUUAGGUGUGUGUCCUGGAGCGCGGUUGCCAUCCUUCUAGAAAACUUUCCUACCCUUCACUGGGCCGGGUCAGCAAUCUAGAUCUUUUACUUUGAAAAAUUAGAGUGUUUAAAGCAGGCUUAUGCUGUGAAUACAUUAGCAUGGAAUAAUAAUAUAGGACUUUGGUUCUAUUUUGUUGGUUUCUAGGACUAAAGUAAUGAUUGAUAGGGAUAGUUGGGGGUGCUAGUAUUCAGCGGCCAGAGGUGAAAUUCUUGGAUUCGCUGAAGACUAACUUAUGCGAAAGCAUUCACCAAGGAUGUCUUCUUUAAUCAAGAACGAAAGUUGGGGGAUCGAAGACGAUUAGAUACCAU